Caenorhabditis elegans is the source of this 110-nucleotide microRNA precursor. The record is from Ensembl. Lineage: Eukaryota; Metazoa; Nematoda; Chromadorea; Rhabditida; Rhabditidae.
AAUGCUCCUUGAAAUUUCAAUCGUUAGAGUAACACACAGUUACACGACCUCAUCAAUCGUGUCACUGGUCUUUCUCUGACGAAUUGAAGUUCUGGAGACAAUUUUGGUUG